CAGGAGAAUAAUGAAAUCAUCAUCUAAAAAUUUCUUCAUAAACAUACAAUGAUCAGAUAUGGUUCUAGGAUGGGUGAUCCCAUGGGAAGUCCUCAUGUUGCACUCCUUUUUGUGCCCCGAGCAGCCAAAACCUCUUCUGUCGACCUCCGAGGGGAUGGUUUUGGGCCUUGGAAUUUGCCGUGACCGCUACGCGGUCAGUCUUGUGGGGCUCGGAGAGAGCUUUUCGGAAUGGGGCCGUAAUAGUGAGUCCGAGUUCGUUCGAAAAAGUCCUAAUGGUUUCGGCGUGCGCUUGCCAUGUCCGGUAUGCGGUCGGCCUCGUGGGCUUCGGAGAGAUCCGACAAUAACGAUUCCGAGAUCGUUCAAGAGGUUUCGAGGCGCACAAUGGGCUCCGGUCGUCGAUACGCCGUCUAUGACGUGCACAAAGGCGAGGGACGACGCAUAAAAAAUGAGUGCGAUCAUACCAGCACUAAAGCAUCGGAUCCCAUCAGAACUCUGAAGUUAAGCAUGCUUGGGCAAGAGUAGUACUAGGAUGGGUGACCCCUUGGGAAGUCCUCGUGUUGCACUCCUUUUUGCGCCCUGAGCGACCAAAACCUCUCCCGUCGACCUCCGAGGCGAUGGUUUUGGGCCUCGAAAUUUGCCGUGACCGAUCGAGAAUGUCCCGAUGGUUUCAGUGCGCACUUGCCGUGUCCGGUACGCGGUCGGCCUCAUGGGCAUUGGAGAGAUCCGACAAUUGCGAUUUCGAGAUCGUUCAAGAGGUUUCGAGGCGCGCAAUGAGCUACGGUCGUCGAUACGCCAUCCACGACGUGCACAAAGGCGUGGGACGACGCAAACAAAACGAGUGUGAUCAUACCAGCACUAAAGCACCGGAUCCCAUCAGAACUCUGAAGUUAAGCUUGCUUGGUCGAGAGUAGUAUUAGGAUGGGUGACCCCUUGGGAAGUCCUCGUGUUGCACUCCUUUUUACGCCCCGAGCGACCAAAACCUCUCCCGUCGACCUCCGAGGCGAUGGUUUUGGGCCUCAGAAUUUACCGUGACCGCUACGCUGUCAGUCUCGUGGGGCUCGGAGAGAGCUUUCCGGAAUGGGGCCGCAAUAGCGAUUCCGAGUUCGUUCGAGAAAGUCCCGAUGGUUUCGGCGCGCGCUUGUCGUUUCCGGUACGCGGUAGGGCUCGUGGGCAUCGGAGAGAUCCGACAAUGGCGAUUCCAAUAUCGUUCGAGAGGUUUCGGGGCGCACAAUGGGCUCCGGUCGUCGAUACGCCGUCCGCGACGUGCACAAAGGCGAGGGACGACGCACACAAAACGAGUGCGAUCAUACCAGCACUAAAGCACCGGAUCCCAUCAGAACUCCGAAGUUAAGGGUGCUCGGGCGAGAGUAGUACAAGGAUGGGUGACCCCCUGGGAAGUCCUCGUGUUGCACUCCUUUUUGCGCCCCGAGCGGCCAAAACCUCUCCCGUCGACCUCCGAGGCGAUGGUUUUGGGCCUCUUUAUUUGCCGUGACAGCUAUGCUGUCAGUCUCGUGGGGCUCGGAGAGAGCUUUCCGGAAUGGGGCCGCAAUAGCGAUUCUGAGUUCGUUCAAGAAUGUCCCGAUGGUUUCGGCGCGCGCUUGCCGUGUCCGGUACGCGGUCGGCCUCCUAGGCAUCGGAGAGAUCCGACAAUGGCGAUUCCGAGAUCGUUCGAGAGGUUUCGGGGCGCGCAAUGGGCUCCGGUCGUCGAUACGCCAUUCGCGACGUGCACAAAGACGAGGGACGACGCACACAAAACGAGUGCGAUCAUACCAGCACUAAAGCACCGGAUCCCAUCAGAACUCCGAAGUUAAGCGUGCAUGGGUGAGAGUAGU
This 1832-nucleotide long non-coding RNA is filed under the name Musa acuminata (dwarf banana). Lineage: Eukaryota; Viridiplantae; Streptophyta; Magnoliopsida; Zingiberales; Musaceae. The record is from RNAcentral.